GACGAACGCUGGCGGCGUGCUUAACACAUGCAAGUCGAACGGAAAGGCCCUGCUUUUGUGGGGUGCUCGAGUGGCGAACGGGUGAGUAACACGUGAGUAACCUGCCCUUGACUUUGGGAUAACUUCAGGAAACUGGGGCUAAUACCGGAUAGGAGCUCCUGCUGCAUGGUGGGGGUUGGAAAGUUUCGGCGGUUGGGGAUGGACUCGCGGCUUAUCAGCUUGUUGGUGGGGUAGUGGCUUACCAAGGCUUUGACGGGUAGCCGGCCUGAGAGGGUGACCGGCCACAUUGGGACUGAGAUACGGCCCAGACUCCUACGGGAGGCAGCAGUGGGGAAUAUUGCACAAUGGGCGGAAGCCUGAUGCAGCAACGCCGCGUGCGGGAUGACGGCCUUCGGGUUGUAAACCGCUUUCGCCUGUGACGAAGCGUGAGUGACGGUAAUGGGUAAAGAAGCACCGGCUAACUACGUGCCAGCAGCCGCGGUGAUACGUAGGGUGCGAGCGUUGUCCGGAUUUAUUGGGCGUAAAGGGCUCGUAGGUGGUUGAUCGCGUCGGAAGUGUAAUCUUGGGGCUUAACCCUGAGCGUGCUUUCGAUACGGGUUGACUUGAGGAAGGUAGGGGAGAAUGGAAUUCCUGGUGGAGCGGUGGAAUGCGCAGAUAUCAGGAGGAACACCAGUGGCGAAGGCGGUUCUCUGGGCCUUUCCUGACGCUGAGGAGCGAAAGCGUGGGGAGCGAACAGGCUUAGAUACCCUGGUAGUCCACGCUGUAAACGGUGGGUACUAGGUGUGGGGUCCAUUCCACGGGUUCCGUGCCGUAGCUAACGCUUUAAGUACCCCGCCUGGGGAGUACGGCCGCAAGGCUAAAACUCAAAGGAAUUGACGGGGCCCCGCACAAGCGGCGGAGCAUGCGGAUUAAUUCGAUGCAACGCGUAGAACCUUACCUGGGUUUGACAUGGAUCGGGAGUGCCCAGAGAUGGGUGUGCCUCUUUUGGGGUCGGUUCACAGGUGGUGCAUGCCUGUCGUCAGCUCGUGUCGUGAGAUGUUGGGUUAAGUCCCGCAACGAGCGCAACCCUUGUUCACUGUUGCCAGCACGUUAUGGUGGGGACUCAGUGGAGACCGCCGGGGUCAACUCGGAGGAAGGUGGGGAUGACGUCAAGUCCUCAUGCCCCUUAUGUCCAGGGCUUCACGCAUGCUACAAUGGCUGGUACAGAGAGUGGCGAGCCUGUGAGGGUGAGCGAAUCUCGGAAAGCCGGUCUCAGUUCGGAUUGGGGUCUGCAACUCGACCUCAUGAAGUCGGAGUCGCUAGUAAUCGCAGAUCAGCAACGCUGCGGUGAAUACGUUCCCGGG
RNAcentral lists this ribosomal RNA (1343 nucleotides) under uncultured bacterium. RNAcentral describes it as "16S ribosomal RNA". It matches the Rfam family "Bacterial small subunit ribosomal RNA", at positions 28 to 1378 of the family's 1533-position model. The record is from RNAcentral.